AAUAGAUACCCCGGUAGUCCACGCCGUAAACGAUGUCGACUUGGAGGUUGUGCCCUUGAGGCGUGGCUUCCGGAGCUAACGCGUUAAGUCGACCGCCUGGGGAGUACGGCCGCAAGGUUAAAACUCAAAUGAAUUGACGGGGGCCCGCACAAGCGGUGGAGCAUGUGGUUUAAUUCGAUGCAACGCGAAGAACCUUACCUACUCUUGACAUCCAGAGAACUUAGCAGAGAUGCUUUGGUGCCUUCGGGAACUCUGAGACAGGUGCUGCAUGGCUGUCGUCAGCUCGUGUUGUGAAAUGUUGGGUUAAGUCCCGCAACGAGCGCAACCCUUAUCCUUUGUUGCCAGCGGUUCGGCCGGGAACUCAAAGGAGACUGCCAGUGAUAAACUGGAGGAAGGUGGGGAUGACGUCAAGUCAUCAUGGCCCUUACGAGUAGGGCUACACACGUGCUACAAUGGCAUAUACAAAGAGAAGCGACCUCGCGAGAGCAAGCGGACCUCAUAAAGUAUGUCGUAGUCCGGA
This 520-nucleotide ribosomal RNA is filed under the name uncultured bacterium. RNAcentral describes it as "bacterial SSU rRNA". It matches the Rfam family "Bacterial small subunit ribosomal RNA", at positions 777 to 1297 of the family's 1533-position model. The record is from RNAcentral.